ACGUCAGAACUGUUUCGGUCUUCCAUCAGGGUUUCCCCUGACUUCAACCUGAUCAAGUAUAGUUCACCAUCUUUCGGGUCACAGCAUAUAUGCUCAAGGUACGUUCCAGUUAGAGGCAUAAAUAAUAUAAAUAUUAUCAUACAUAACUAUAUAGAACGCCCCGGGAUUGUGUUAAUUAUCUAUAAAUAGUUAAAAAACUAAUCCCAUUAUUAGUCAAGUUAAUUACGCUAUUAGGUUU
RNAcentral lists this ribosomal RNA (238 nucleotides) under Drosophila pseudoobscura. RNAcentral's name for it is "partial 28S ribosomal RNA". Lineage: Eukaryota; Metazoa; Arthropoda; Insecta; Diptera; Drosophilidae. The record is from RNAcentral.